Molecule: non-coding RNA, 954 nt
Organism: Lactuca sativa (garden lettuce)
Lineage: Eukaryota; Viridiplantae; Streptophyta; Magnoliopsida; Asterales; Asteraceae
Source: RefSeq, a predicted model, not a curated record
UGUUAUAAUCCAAGGCGGGCAAUUCACAUAUUUUUGAAAUCGAAUUUUCAUAUGUCUGGAACCAAAAUGGCGUUUAUUUCUCUUUCUCGCUCGCUCCAUUCAACAUCAGGAUAAGCCAUUCUUCCUGAAAAACCCUAGCCGCUAUCAAUCUCUCCUUCAUUAUGUCCUAUGUUGGACCGCCAACAGAUACUUUGUUCAUUGGUCAUGUCUGGUUCUUAGAAGUUUCGAUUCAGGUUAUCAUCUAAAUCCCAUCCCCACCUAUGCAACGAUUACAGUGGAUUCCGAGAUAACUUACAUCCCAACAACGAUUAAACACCACUGCAUCAGUCGACUCCUUCUUCUUACUUAUUUGUUUGUAUCCUCAGUUGGAAUCGAAAAUCAAAGCUUCCAAAUCUAAGCUGGAGUUUUUGAGCAGGUCUUGAAGAUAUGAUUUUUUGAAUAAUAGGUUUCCCAGGUAUGAAGAUUCUGAAUCGUUUAAUCGAUAUAGGCCUCAGAUUUGUCGAUACACUUUGGUCUUUCUCGCUUUCUCCCUCUUUGUAUUUCGCUGAAAACCACCACCCUCUCUCUACAGGUCUGCACAUCAGCCUCUUUUUGGGCAAGAGACACCUCAAUCAGAGAGAAAUCAAGUUUUAUGUGCUAGGAAUCAAAAGAAACUUCAAUUCUUCCAAGAUUUUGCUGGAAAGGUGAUGAAUGGAUGUUGAUCUGAUUUGAUCUUCAUUGAUGGAUUUCGUCUCUAUAUCUAAUUAUCGGUAUAUUACUUUUGAAUACAAAUAUUUUCUUCUGAAGAACUUAAUUCUAGAAUCUUAGGACCUGGAAAGUGGAAACCUGAAUACAUGAAGGAUCUGAAUUAUGUGUGUGCUUAACAGAUGAACUUGAAAUUAGACAAUAAGCAUAUAACUCACAUAUAAACUUUUUAACAUAUAUUUAAUAAUUGUAUUAAUACUUGUAUUGAAA